This 253-nucleotide ribosomal RNA is filed under the name uncultured bacterium. RNAcentral describes it as "partial 16S ribosomal RNA". It matches the Rfam family "Bacterial small subunit ribosomal RNA", at positions 524 to 776 of the family's 1533-position model. The record is from RNAcentral.
UACGGAGGAUCCAAGCGUUAUCCGGAAUCAUUGGGUUUAAAGGGUCCGUAGGUGGACGAUUAAGUCAGGGGUGAAAUCUUGCAGCUCAACUGUAAAAUUGCCCUUGAUACUGGUUGUCUUGAAUCAUUGUGAAGUGGUUAGAAUAUGUAGUGUAGCGGUGAAAUGCAUAGAUAUUACAUAGAAUACCGAUUGCGAAGGCAGAUCACUAACGGUGCAUUGACACUGAUGGACGAAAGCGUGGGGAGCGAACAGG